UGGAGGAUGAAGAUACAAUAAAUAUAUGCCUGGAACCCUGACCAUAAGCAACAUUUCUUGUUCCCUUUAAGGACAUUUAAAAACAGGAAUGAUGCCUAAGCUCCUAACGGCAGCUCAGAUUCAGCAGGUGCAUGGAAGCAAUUCAGAGUCUGUGCUGCGAAGCCACAAAAUAAAAAAUGUUCCAGACUACAGAGUGUGUCACGGACACAAGCUGUUAGAAUCGCCUGUAUGAGGAAUCAUGGUGGCAGCACUACCACUCCAUCUGGAACUGCCAACAUUUCAUGGUCACAAUGACAGGCCUAAAUGUCCACCUGUUAGCUUCAAAACACAGCUCUGAAAUCUGAAAGGGCUGCAGGCUGAAGUGUUGCCAUUACAAAGACUAUGGACUGAAAGGUUAAAACAGAAGCUGGGCUUUUUCUGUACUUUCUGCCGUAUUAUACUACAAGGAUGAAAUCAAUCCUGUCGCUGAGACCAGUACUUUACCUACAGACUCUGACUGGAAACAGAGUGAAGUGUUUUUUAAUUAAUGCACGGCGAUAUUCAGCCUGCCUAAAACAGUUAUUCUCGGUCCUGAAAUAUAAAUCGAUUGGAGACACCACUUUCCUUACACCAGAUGGGCAAAGCAGAAAUAUGAAGAGUGAGAACCUCAGUAAUAUUUUGUCAGAGCAGGGGGAGGCUGGAUUGAGCAAAUGUUCAGGUGAUAACUGUUAUAGAUCUUCAGGGAAUCUCUGGACCAGAGCUCCGCUAUCAAUUCAACUAAGCGCCUCCACCCCCGCCCCCCAACGUCGCUUUGCACCUAGGACAUCCAAUCUUCUCCGCCCCAGUGUCUCCUCGCCAGUCGCGCAAGAUCAAAUGCACGUAACGAGCACAAGCUUCCAACACUGCCAGUGUUUCAGGAUAUCCAGCGGCCAGGGAGUUGUGCACCUAAUGACGCAAGGGGGGUCUCAACCUCACCGGGGCAUAGCCCUCCCCUGCUGGUGUGUCCGUGGCUCUUGACUCCUCCUCCUGGGUGGCCUUGAGGUCCUGCAGAAACUGCCACUGCACUGGUAAGAUGAAACAGAAAGUGGGUAAGAUGGUUUCUGGAGAGGUUGUUACCAGGUCUU
RNAcentral lists this long non-coding RNA (1103 nucleotides) under Scleropages formosus (Asian bonytongue). Its description in RNAcentral is "lncRNA (ENSSFOG00015029932.1)". Lineage: Eukaryota; Metazoa; Chordata; Actinopteri; Osteoglossiformes; Osteoglossidae. The record is from RNAcentral.